CUUAAACUUCCACUGGUACAUGAUUUUGCCCGCAUUCCUCUCCUUUAUUGACAAUAUUUUUGAAAAAGAUAUUAUUAAAAAAAAAAUCUCUUUUUUUUCUCAUUUCUAAAAACCAAUUUCCUUUUUUCUUACUCAAAUUUCCCUUUCCCCCUGAAUAGUCCUAACUUUUUUUCCCCAACUGUCCCUUCUUCCCCAAUUUUCUUCAAUCAAUCGCACGACGCUCCCCUUCUUGGCCACCACUGCGCGAGUCUUCCCUCCACCACCCAAGCUCCAAACGACCGGUCGGGCGAACGAUCUCACAUCACAGACGUUCCACCGCGCACAAACGUUCAUGCACAGGCACUGUGUGCAGAAGACCUACUCCACUCUACCACAACCCAGACUCCACCACAGUCGUUCACGCACAGGCUCCACCUCCGCUCCACCGCGCACGGCUGAGGCGGCUUCCGACCUUCUUGCUCCACGACCCAAGUUGCAAACCUUCUUGCUUCACCAUGGACGGCUGCGCACGGCUGACGGUUUCCUCAAGUUAUUUUCUAUACUUCCAAGGAAAUUGGAGUUCUUGGCAUGUUAUCCAUGGGCCACAUAUUAAUCCCACAAAGUGAUCUUCAGUACAAUAGUAGACAAAUGUUGCUGUAGCCCAUUUUAGGAGUGGAAUGAGCCACGAAGAGGUCGGCUUGUUCCUAACCUUUACCGAUAUAUGCAGCCUUGGGAAAAUGAGUUCAUGGAUUCACAGUGGGUAUGGGCUGAAUAUGCUCUGAAAAGGCAAGAAGCUCAAGCCAGAAAGAACUGAGCUUGUCAGAUGGUGACUAUGUCAUUAUGCGAAACGUAUUUUUUAUUUUCUUGAGGCAAUUUUCUCUAUUUUUUGUUUUCAAGUUUGCAGUCAUAACCUUGGGAAGUAGUUGUAGACUAUGUUUGUAUGUGAAAUCUUAAAGGUUUUCAAAAGGGCUUGCUCAUGUUGAUUACAUGCUCAACCAUUUUCUAAAGGCUAUGGCUGUAAUGAAGCGGGCUCUGGACAUUGACCCAACAAACUUAGAGGUGCUUAUUGCACUUGGUGUGAGUCACACAAAUGGUCAGUUGUUGCUUCCUUAUCUAAUUACAUGUUGUAUAUGAUUUAUAUUCACUAAAAGAAAAUUUUCUAAUCAUCUUGGCUUAAUGACAAUUGUUACCAGGGCUGGGUUUUUGUUGUGAGUUUGCAUAUAAAUUAUAUAUAGCUUCACCAGAGACUUUAAUUUAAUUUCAAAUUUUAAUUUCAAAAUUUCACUUUCUUUGAUCACUUUCUUAGAGCUAUGGAUUUCUGCACCACUCUCACUUUGUUUUCCUUGAUAUAAUGUGACCAAAUGAAGGGUUUAUCAUGGCUACCUGGCAAGUUCUUAUCAUUCAGGGAUUAUUUGUGGGUUUAUGUUGAUAUCUCAAUAUUUGGAGAGUUUGGCAUCAACUGGAACACUAUCUUGGAUCCUUCAAUGAUCUCGUCCUAUCUUUAAAAUGCAAACUAGUACUUUUCUACAAACAAUUUAGUUGUUUAAUCUUGGUCAUAAAGAAAAGUACAAUCCUACCAAGUAACACCUUAAACUGAGUUAACCACUUCCUUAUUUCUUGUAUAUAAACAAAUCAUUCUUUAGAAGUCCUCUCCUGCUAUUCAUGUCUUGUAUGCGUGUAUCUUUUUCUCUCGUUUCUUUCCUGUUACGACUUCCUACUGUUUUGAACUAGCUGUUCUUGCUUGUUCCAACUUUCCUAUAUUGCACUUUCUAUGUAUCUCAAGAGUAUGGGUUAUCUGUUGACAUUUCAGGUUCAUAUUGCUAAUGGGAUUCAGUUUGUUAAUUCAGUAUGUUGUGUUUAAAUGAUUGUUUGAAUUAUUUUAUACAAUUCAAGUAAUUAAAGUAUUAACUUCAAUAUUUUGGGAUUCAUAUUAGAUUGAUACAAGGAGCUCAUAUAGUCAAUUCGAAUUGGACGAAGUGCAAAUGAAGCUAGUUGAAUUUUUGGGUGGCCACAUGUGAUUAUGGUAAUAGCUAAGUUCUUUUGGGUUAGAUAGACAAGUUUUGUUGAUACUGGAUAUAGGUGAACUAGAUUUUUUGAUAUUUUUGUUGACACUAGAUAUAGGUUAAAGACAAGUUUGGAUAUGGUACACCUUUAGGCUACACCUAUUUUGUUUAUAAUGGAAAGUUUAGGCUAUUGUUAGAAGUUUGGGGUGCACAUAUAUAUAUAUAUAUAUAUAUAUAUAUAUAUAUAUAUAUAUAUAUAUAUAUAUAUAUAUAUAUAUAUGUUGUAAUUAAGUAUGUAAUAACCAACUUAUAUAUGUACUGUUCACAAUUUCUUUGAUGGAAAGUUUGAGUUGAUUUCAAUCGUUCAA
Molecule: long non-coding RNA, 2350 nt
Organism: Cucumis melo (muskmelon)
Lineage: Eukaryota; Viridiplantae; Streptophyta; Magnoliopsida; Cucurbitales; Cucurbitaceae
Exons: 4
Source: RefSeq, a predicted model, not a curated record